Molecule: ribosomal RNA, 433 nt
Filed under: uncultured bacterium
Lineage: Bacteria
Description: partial 16S ribosomal RNA
Rfam family: Bacterial small subunit ribosomal RNA
Source: RNAcentral
AACGAACGCUGGCGGCAUGCCUAACACAUGCAAGUCGAACGAGACCUUCGGGUCUAGUGGCGCACGGGUGCGUAACGCGUGGGAACCUGCCCUUAGGUUCGGACUAACUCCCCGAAAGGGGUGCUAAUACCGGAUAAUGUCUUCGGCCCAAAGAUUUAUCGCCUUUGGAUGGGCCCGCGUUGGAUUAGCUAGUUGGUAGGGUAAAAGCCUACCAAGGCGACGAUCCAUAGCUGGUCUGAGAGGAUGAUCAGCCACACUGGGACUGAGACACGGCCCAGACUCCUACGGGAGGCAGCAGUGGGGAAUAUUGGACAAUGGGCGAAAGCCUGAUCCAGCAAUGCCGCGUGAGUGAUGAAGGCCUUAGGGUUGUAAAGCUCUUUUACCCGGGAUGAUAAUGACAGUACCGGGAGAAUAAGCUCCGGCUAACUCCGUG